AAGGCUGAGGCCCCGCCCCCGUCAUGGCGCCCGAGGAGAACGCGGGGAGCGAACUCUUGCUGCAGAGUUUCAAGCGCCGCUUCCUGGCAGCGCGCGCCCUGCGCUCCUUCCGCUGGCAGGUGCACCCUGCGACAUCUGAAGAGCUUAGAAGCAAAGUUAAGAGACUCAUCAGAUUCUGAGCUGCUGCGGGAUAUUUUGCAGAAGUAGACUGUGAAGCAUCCUGUGUGUGUGAAGCACCCGCCGUCAGUCAAGUAUGCCCGGUGCUUUCUCUCAGAACUCAUCAAAAAGACGUGCUGUAUUGCCCAGAAGCCAUCGUGUCGCUGGUCGGGGUCCUGCGGAGGCUGGCUGCCUGCCGGGAGCACCAGCGGGCUCCUCAAUUCUACAUGGCCCUUACCGUCUGCAACCCAGAGAUGUGCCAGCUGUUCACCACCGAGCUAUGCUGGACUGGGAUCAGAUGGGAAGCGGAAGCUCAUCAUGACCAGAAACUGUUUCCCUACAGAGAGCACUUGGAGAUGGCAAAGCUGAACCUCACACUGUAGGACUCACACAUGACUCCAACGGGAUUGUGAGAAUUAAGUCACUCUCGUGGGAAGAAUUUUUAUAUGGGAAAGCGGAUAAAACUUUCAUUGGACUGGAAUGUUUGGAGAAUGUUAAAUUCCAAAUCAGGAACCACAAACUGCGCUCUAAUAAGACAUCGGCUAUCUAAGCAUGUGGGUUCCCCCUUUCUGCCAGCAGUUCUGGUUCUUAAGAAAAUCACCAUAAAUCAGACAUGAAAAUUCUGGCUCCAAAAA
Molecule: long non-coding RNA, 791 nt
Filed under: Homo sapiens (human)
Lineage: Eukaryota; Metazoa; Chordata; Mammalia; Primates; Hominidae
Description: novel transcript
Source: RNAcentral